This is a long non-coding RNA of Humulus lupulus (European hop), 1070 nucleotides long. RefSeq lists it as uncharacterized. The record is from RefSeq and is a predicted model, not a curated record. The transcript has 3 exons. Lineage: Eukaryota; Viridiplantae; Streptophyta; Magnoliopsida; Rosales; Cannabaceae.
CUUUUAUAUGUUUAGGAUUAAUUAGGUGCCCAUUUUGUUAUUAGUUUGUGUAUAUGUGUGUUUAAAUCAAAUUCUUAUCCUGUGCAGAGUAUGAUUUAUGGUUUAUUUUAAAGAGUGUUAUUAGUUGGUGUGUUGAGAUUUUUAGUUAGAAAUGUAUACGUGUUUGAACUUGGUUUCUAAUCUAUUUAUAGUAUUAAUUUGGUUUCAAAUUUGAUUGUUUUAGAUUGAUUGAUUUGGUGGAUUGGUGGCUUUGAGUGUUUCGGACAAUUUGACGUGGUGACUUUAAGAGGCUUAGAUAUGUCUUCUGCGGCUAUGCAACAUCACGAAGGUGAUGGUGGGGUAGAUCCUCCUCCAGAUCCAAUGCAGAUAUAGGCUGAUUGUGAGAGAGGUAUCACAUGCAAUUAUUAUUUUUUUGGAUGAAUAUAUUGAAUUAAUUUAUUUAUGUGUAUAUAAUAAUUAUAUGUAUUUGAGAAAUAAUAGUGAUGACUAAAACGAAAAGGCGCGGCAUCAACAAAGGGUUUUCAACUCGAGAAGCUAGAGUUGCAUUAGGUAGACCACUACCACUGGAGUGGGAUGUUCGAGGGAAGACUUACAAAGAAAUUGGUGAUUAUUCCCAACAUUUCUCUAGAGAGAUCGGCAUUCUCAUUCGACAAUAUGCCGAUCCCGACUACGACCGAUGGGAUAAAUUACCCAGCGAAGUUAGGGAUCGCAGACUUCCUCGUCUAGAGGUAAUUUAUUUCUAUAAUUUUUUUAUUGGGUUCACUUUAAUAUUAAAUCUAGCUAAUUUAUUUUAUUUUUUUGAUUCAGGGUGAUUUAUUCGACAUUGAUCGAAGUCGAUAUACCUCAGAGAACCUCCCCGGCAUUCUUUUGGGCAUUCAACGGUCGUGCGCUGAUCGUUACUCGGAGUGGAAGAAUGACUUGUCCACUCAUUUAAAAAACAAUGGUCGAGCACAUCCUCCUGAUGGUUUGGGCAUGGAGAAAUGGCAGAAGGCGCUCCAGUAUUUUGAUCGCCCUGAAGUGAAGAGAAGCGUGCAGGGUUCACAGUCUACGCCAGCCCUUCGUUACAAGAA